AAGCAACACGUUCGUUCCUUUCCAUCACGGUUAAGCGGAGUCGGCGGGGAAAGCUGGGGCGCUCCCGGGAACCCGGCCCCGACGGCUCCGAGCGUCUCUCCGCGACCGCCGCGCCUGACUGACCCGGAUCCAAACCCCGCAGAUAGGGUGGCCCGCGCACUAGAGUCGUACUGCGCCUGCGCAACCUGGGCUCGCGCCCCGCCCACCGCUCACGCUCCUCCCACCUCGGUGACUCGGCAACACGGCCAGAGGUAACUGCGCAAGCGCACGGUGGCAGCCCCGCCUCUCGAAGCUCCUACUCCAACCCCUCUCCGAAGCACGUGCGUCUUAAGUCAUUUCCUGUUAUUCUUUUCGCUCCCUCCGCCCCCUGGCUUGGGUUCGCUCCCGGCAGGCUUUAGGGCGUGCCUACUUCCUCUUCCUCUACUAUCACGUGAAUUGGCGGCUUGUCUUGCAACUGUAGAACCAUCGCUGCUCCCGAGGCAUAAUCGGCCUCCUUCUUGUCCUCUUGAAGUCACCAAGCCAACGGCAUUCGGUGGGCUGCGGGAGCGUUUGCGCCACCCGAUGCCUCCAAGAAUGCUCGGCAGAGUUUCCUACUUGCAACCAAGGGUGCUUGCACUCGGUCCACCACCCUCGUCUCUUUGGGUCCGCAGAGAAGCCAAGAAGGUAUUACUUGGACUAGGCCCAGGCAGUGGAUGCUAGCCCGGAAUUGGAAUGGAAAUUAGGUUUUAUGGUUUUUGCUUUUUUAAAAACAGGAUCCCAUUUGUUAGGCCAGCCUGAAACUCACGUUGUUACCCCUGUCUCAGGCUCCCGUGCCUUCUGUUUUGAUAACUGGAAGCAACUGUUUGCCUCUCAGGACUCCCGUUAUUUUGUCUGGAAAUUAAAAGGGUUUCAGCGAA
Molecule: long non-coding RNA, 896 nt
Filed under: Rattus norvegicus (Norway rat)
Lineage: Eukaryota; Metazoa; Chordata; Mammalia; Rodentia; Muridae
Description: long non-coding RNA NONRATT018858
Source: RNAcentral